Molecule: long non-coding RNA, 898 nt
Organism: Lolium rigidum
Lineage: Eukaryota; Viridiplantae; Streptophyta; Magnoliopsida; Poales; Poaceae
Exons: 3
Source: RefSeq, a predicted model, not a curated record
GCUUCACAAUAUAUUUUGUCAUAAAUUUCCCCUAUGCUUGCUGCAAGAUUCAGUAUGCAUGUACAAUCAUCUGGAAGCUUAAAACUGAUACUUAAAGGUCACUUUGUCUAAGAUGCAGAGAGGGCUAAGGAGUUGGAUAAGAUGGGCCGGUCUAUUUGUAUUCCAGUAAAGGCUGAACCAACAUGAACACAUUCAGAGUUUGCUCCCCAGGAAAAAAGGACAUCAAGGACCUGGGUCUGUUUUCACGAUGGAGCAGAUCUCGAGUAUCCCAGCAGUCUGUCUCCUUCGUCGAGACAAUGAAUUUAAAGUUCUUAAGAUUUGGCUAAAAGGUUUUUAGACGCGAGAUGGUGAGCUCUUCCCUAUUUCCGAGUGGUGCUGCCAAUAAGUGAGAUGUACGUUUUGUUCCUUGGAUAUGCCUGGUGAGUUAAUCCAUGUUUUGCUCUUUAACGCUUUGGUUACAUAUGUUUGACCUAAUCUUCUCUAAAAUGUUAUCAUGAUUUUGGUGAUACCGUGACUUGCGUGCUAUGAAAAUUAAGGUUAUUAAGAUGAAUGGCGUUUGUAUAAGACUAGGCAUAUUUCAAAAUUAUUCACCAAAUCCUUGAGGGAGUUUUAUAGUUGUAUUGUAUUGCCAGUUUACUACCAUAUUAAAAGAAGGAUUUGAGUGUGGAGCACUACAUGCCAAUCACAGAUUAAAAUGAACUUGGGAUACAGUUGUAGUUGGAAGUGGACAGAAUAUAUGUGAAUAAAAAGACCUAAAGAUCAGUAGGCUGUUGUGAAACUGAGUUGCUACUAGAAUUGAGGCAUGGGUCAUGUAUUAUUUGAACGAGUAUUGAUUUGUAUCUGCUUACUGUGUGAAGUGAAGUUGUAAAAUAACUAUUCUAUGAAAUCUGUUUUGACC